AUUGAACGCUGGCGGCAGGCCUAACACAUGCAAGUAGAGCGAGCGGCGGACGGGUGAGUAAUGCCUGGGAAUUGCCCAGUCGAGGGGGAUAACAGUUGGAAACGACUGCUAAUACCGCAUACGAUUGGAUUGCCCAGGUGGGAUUCGCUAGUUGGUGAGGUAAUGUCUCACCCAGGCGACGAUCCCUAGCUGGUCUGAGAGGAUGAUCAGCCACACUGGACCCUAGACACGGUGCAGACUCCGACGGGAGGCAGCAGUGGGGAAUAUUGCACAAGGGGGGAAACCCGGAUGCAGCGAUGCCGCGUGUGUGAUGAAGGCCUUCGGGUUGUAAAGCACUUUCAGCGAGGAGGCGUUACUCGCAGAAGAAGCACCGGCUAACUCCGUGCCAGCAGCCGCGGGAAUAC
RNAcentral lists this ribosomal RNA (404 nucleotides) under uncultured bacterium. Its description in RNAcentral is "partial 16S ribosomal RNA". It matches the Rfam family "Bacterial small subunit ribosomal RNA", at positions 30 to 526 of the family's 1533-position model. The record is from RNAcentral.